UAUUCAUAGCCUCUUCAUAUGAUGAAGGUUCUGAAUACUCUAAAGAUUCACCCGAGAUAAGGGCAAAGUCGAUCAAAUUAUUUAUUUCAUAUCUUGGAUUUGGUUUGAUUUGCCUCCUUUCCCUAUCUCUCACCAAUUGAUAAUCUUGAGCACUUGUUUCAAUAGUGGGAACAUUUGGGCUUUCAAUUUCAAUUUCGACUUCACACGGACCUACUUCACCUUCGUCCGUGUAAACAACAUUUUCAUCAGAUUGUUGUACACACUCAUCAAUAUUUUCAUGUUGAGUGGGAUUUAGCCUUGUUAGCUUCACCUCAUUCCGUGAAGUAGUCUCAUUGUUUUGCUCUUUAGAAUUAUCAAUUUUGUUCUUUAGGC
Molecule: long non-coding RNA, 372 nt
Filed under: Olea europaea (common olive)
Lineage: Eukaryota; Viridiplantae; Streptophyta; Magnoliopsida; Lamiales; Oleaceae
Description: long non-coding RNA (OEUR_LNC000746)
Source: RNAcentral